Molecule: ribosomal RNA, 569 nt
Filed under: uncultured bacterium
Lineage: Bacteria
Description: partial 16S ribosomal RNA
Rfam family: Bacterial small subunit ribosomal RNA
Source: RNAcentral
UGGGGAAUUUUGGACAAUGGGGGAAACCCUGAUCCAGCCAUCCCGCGUGUGCGAUGAAGGCCUUCGGGUUGUAAAGCACUUUUGGCAGGAAAGAAACGUCGCGGGUUAAUACCCCGCGAAACUGACGGUACCUGCAGAAUAAGCACCGGCUAACUACGUGCCAGCAGCCGCGGUAAUACGUAGGGUGCAAGCGUUAAUCGGAAUUACUGGGCGUAAAGCGUGCGCAGGCGGUUCGGAAAGAAAGAUGUGAAAUCCCAGAGCUUAACUUUGGAACUGCAUUUUUAACUACCGGGCUAGAGUGUGUCAGAGGGAGGUGGAAUUCCGCGUGUAGCAGUGAAAUGCGUAGAUAUGCGGAGGAACACCGAUGGCGAAGGCAGCCUCCUGGGAUAACACUGACGCUCAUGCACGAAAGCGUGGGGAGCAAACAGGAUUAGAUACCCUGGUAGUCCACGCCCUAAACGAUGUCAACUAGCUGUUGGGGCCUUCGGGCCUUGGUAGCGCAGCUAACGCGUGAAGUUGACCGCCUGGGGGAGUACGGUCGCAAGAUUAAAACUCAAAGGAAUUGGACU